UUCCAUCAACAAACUUAGGCGGUGAAACUGCAAUGAUUAAAAAAAAGACAAAUUAAACAAAUUAUUUAAUAAAAUAUAUGUCAUAUUUAACAAGUUUUUUGAAGAAAAAAAAAUUAUUUAGCAUUAUGUUUUUUAGUUUGUCAUUUUUUGCGAUUUCUCGUGUAUUAAUCAAAAGGGAGAAAUCAUCAUGUACUACCAUUGUUCAUCUAUGAAGACAUGUUUUCCAAGUCUUCCAUUAUGGUCCUAAGUAAUUAAUAAAUUUCACUAAGAAAACAAAAGAACUUUUCUCCUUUGCUUAUUACAACAACAUAUGAAUUGUUCCAAAUAUAAAAAGAAGAGAAGAUGAAUGGAAAAGGAAAAAGUAGCAAAGAAGAAUACCUGAUAAUUGCAGAAACACUAAUAAAGAUGAAGAGAAACUUGAAUGAAAAUAUAUUGGGAAUUGGCAUGAAAGUCACCUGUAACAAUACCGUGGCAGCAAAACCCAAGUGGAGGGGGAUACUAAGAAUAGAGGCAAUUUGAAAUGACGAAACUGCCCUUUAAAUUAAAAAUGGACAAAAUACACAUAGAUUGAUACCAAUUGGAAAGUGACUCUUCUGGUAUAGUAGAAAGUUGGCCAUAAAUCAGGAAGAAGACGGGCCUUUUCUUCUUAGUUUUUUUUUUUUAGAAAAUGCAUAAGUAUCCCCAACCUAUAUCCCAAAUCUCAGAAAUACACUUAAAGGUCAUUUGGUAAAAUGUAUUAGGAAAAAUAAUACAUGCAUUAGGUGUGUGUAUUAAUAAUACAUUGAGUUUGUUACAUUUUUUUUUUUUUGGUCAUGUAUAACUAAUGCAAGCUUAGUUAUACAUAAUAUUGUGCAUUAAGUUGUGCAUUACUAAUACCAAGAAUUCUAAGUAUUAGUAAUACAUAGAAUUUUAACACUUGCAUUAGAUUAUGUAAUUACAAAAGUACCCUCAAAGUCCUUUAAAAACAUUUUCCAUAGUACUUUGUUUCAGAAACCUAUCAUCUUUUCUUUCAUCGCCUGUACUUUGUCAAUGGAAAUUCAAGAGUAGGUUUUCUUCCUUUUUUUCUCAAUCAAACAUUGUUUGCUCAUCUUCAUAAGGUUAGUACUUUAUCUUCCAUUAAAAUCUGUAUUUUUCAACAUCUCUUUCACAAUUUAAGAUGAAAUUUAGGUUUAGCUCGUUUUUUUUAAUAUGCUUUGAGCUUGUCAAAUUCUAGUGUAGCCAUUUACAGUACUUUAUCUUCCAUUAAAAUCUGUAUUUUUCAACAUCUCUUUCACAAUUUAAGAUGAAACUUAGGUUUAGCUCGUUUUUUUUAAUAUGCUUUGAGCUCGUCAAAUUCUAGUGUAGCCAUUUACAAUACUUUAUCUUCCAUUAAAAUCUGUAUUUUUCAACAUCUCUUUCACAAUUUAAGAUGAAAUUUAGGUUUAGCUCGUUUUUUUUAAUAUGCUUUGAGCUCGUCAAAUUCUAGUGUAGCCAUUUACUUUUGAGAUUCUGAAAUGUAAUUAUAUAGCUGCUAUGACAGUUUUCUAAUAUGUCUUGUAUUUUUGUGUCUGGUCUCUAUUUUUCAUUGUUAAUUUCUCUAUGAGUUGAUGAACGUGUUUGAUAGAAGAGGUGAAGAAGUUCGCUUCUAUUUGUUUGAAUAGUGUGGCAGAUUAUUUCUCUGAUCGUUAUGCUAGUAUUGUUCCUGUUGGUGGCAUUCAAUAUCUCCUACAUUGUUCGUGUUGGUGGCAUUUGAUUCACUCUAUGUUGCUACUCGAACUCUCCGAGUGCGUGUCGGAACCUCCAAAAGUAGUGCAUUUAUGUCUCCUAAAUGUUUCACAUUGUUAGUAUCGAAUACCCCUGCCACCUAGCUAAUUCUGCCUUAUCAAUUUUUGAUGAAUGAUGGCUAUAUUCUUGAAGUCGUGUUGAAUUGAUGUAGUUAUCACAUUGUUUGUAUCGGAUCUCCCCUGCCACCUAGCUUAUACUGCCUUAUCAAUUUUUCGAUUAAUAAAUGAUCACGUUGAAUUGCCUUAUCAAUAUUGCUCCCAUGUUUUCUUGUCCUUCGAAUUUUGAUAUUAUUUGUAGUUUCUGGUACUUCGACUAUCAUAUUAUUUUGUUGAAGUUACUGUCUUGUUACUCUCUGUUGUUUUUGUUAUUAUGUGCUAUUUCUUUUACUACUUCUCUUGAUUGCUAUGGACUAUUUUUCCCCUGAGACACUGCUUAAAUCAAACUGUGACGGAGGAUCUAAAGAAUGUUGUCCAGAGAUGAUGGUGACUGCAGUUCAACAUGACGUUUUCUCAUCAGAAGAUGAGGAUGUAUGUCCCACGUGCCUCGAAGAGUAUACACCAGAGAAUCCCAAGAUAUUACAAAAUGUUCUCAUCAUUAUCACCUCAACUGUAUUUAUGAGUGUCAAGAGAGAAGUGAAACAUGUCCAGUUUGUGGAAAGGCAAGAUUUUCUUAUUUCUUUUAUUUUUCACAAGUCUUUAACUUUGUGCUUAGUUUACUACCGCCACAUAAUUUGGGAUGGAUCUAAUGCAUGAGUUGUUAGUAUUGUAACAUACAUAGGUUUAAGAUAAAGUCUUUGUAAUCUGAAAGUCACAGCAGUGUAGGUAGUCAAUGAUCACUUCUCUCAUUCAGACGUCUGAAUUGUAUUUGAGCUGGUAUAUGUUCGUGUUAAAGUGUCUCAUAUAUUGGUGAUAUGCAUACGCUUAUAUCUGCAGACUGCACUUCGACAUCUGUACUCUGCACGUCUUGAUUCCUCACAACAAUUUUGUGGACACUUUGAUAGAACUAGAGUUCAGGGGUACACAAAAGAAGACUCGAAGUAGAUACAUUCCCUAACUCAAAAAGUUUUACCUUACCUCUUUUGUUACUUCGCACAUUGACGACUUCCAUUAUAUGAUUGCCAGAAUCAUCCUUGGGAAAGAAAUGUGCCAAGAUGGCGACUAUUGCUUAAACUUGAACUAUUUUUGUGUUUUCUAUUGCAAAUGCAGUCCAGUCAAGUAUAUUUAGCUUCAUUUCUCUUAACACUUUCAUUUCCUCGAGCAGUUGAUGGAAUUCGGCGAGACAAAUUGAUGGUCAGAGUUGAAGAGAAGGAGCUUAGCUGAAAUGAAAACAGACAUAGAUGUGAAGAUUUCCUACAUCUUAGUAAGAUGAGAAUAGACUGAUUCAAGGAAUGGGUUGACAGAAACCUCCAACAAGAGGAACCGAGGCAAGGUAUUACACAAAGCUUCAGAAGUUGAUGACUCCCCUGAAAUUGGUGAUGCCAGCAUUGGCAAUGGCAGACUGAAGAGGAAACUGCUAUGAGAUAUUGCUACAAGUUAAGCCUUCAACUUUCCAUUGGUUGUAAAUAUCUUUGUAUAUUUCAAUUAGGCUAUUUUUGGUGUACAUAAGUAAUAGCAGGCCUUCCAACUAACUUCGGAUCAUUUUCAGCUGACCUUUUUUGAAUGUUUUAAUCAACUGGAUUUGUGACUUUCCAUAUAUAUUGAAGAUGUUUGACAUCUUCUUCUUUUUCAUUUUUAAUCUUAUUUCAAUGUAACAACA
This is a long non-coding RNA of Solanum lycopersicum (tomato), 3519 nucleotides long. RefSeq lists it as uncharacterized. The record is from RefSeq and is a predicted model, not a curated record. NCBI's taxonomy places the organism in Eukaryota, Viridiplantae, Streptophyta, Magnoliopsida, Solanales, Solanaceae.